UAAGGUAACAACAAGAGUAGGACAUCGAUCGACGAGAGAGGGAGCACCUUGGUUAUACCGAUGGUUCGAACCCGUAGAGCGGGCUCGUCGACGCCGUUAAGAAACGGAUAACUAAAAGGUACAACGUGGCAGACUAAGGGCCAUAGUCCACCCUGACCUUGAACAUAGUCGUCCCUCGCCCUCCGCGAAGACAGGAAGUUCCGCCCGGAAGACCUGGGACGACCGGCAGAGAGGAGAACCGUACCGGUUCUAACGACAGUCACCCUCCCUCAGGCCACGUCAUUGUUUUGUCCGGUACAACAUUUCGAGCUAGAGCCGUUGUGGAUGCGCCUACCGAUGAUGCUUCAGCUGACCAGGUUUUCGGAUUCCAACAGUUCUCUACUCCACUCGGGGAGAAACCGACGCAAUGUUGUUAACUCCAUAGAACUAGACUCACCCUUACUGAAGUUACCGUGGUCGUAUGGACACAAACACCCGAGAGACCUCUUUGAUUCCAUAGAGUUGGAGAGAAGAAGUACAAAGCCACCCUCUUAUGGAAGGGUUGAGCCAUUAGAGAGUUUAAACGUUAUAGAACUACAACCACCCUUAAUAAAGAAGACACUACUACUCCCAUUAGUUGUACUCGGCAUGUGAGACCUAAAAUGUACCAACCGUGCAGAGAGUAACAACUCGGUAGAACUGAACUCACCUCACCUGGAGUCAGGAAAAGUCCUGAUCCAAGUGUACCAAUUGUACGAAAGAAUAGACUUUCACGAAGCGAAUCAUAUAACAUCCGAAUGGUCGUGUCACAGACGAUGAAAUUUUAGUUUAGAGUGUGUAGAGGUUCAGGAACUAGAUAGUCUUUUGAGCAAAUUGAGUAGUAAUCUCGUUUCAACCAAAACCCUACAGUGUUCAGAAUUCCUCGACGUGGAUAGGCUAACGAUGACCGUACCUAGAUAAGGACCUCUUGACCCUUUGUACUGUAGGGAAGUUCAUUGUCUAAAAUCACCGUUAUUACUAGAACACCCAAACUAUGGCGCGUUGAAUCUUUUAAACACGUUAGACUUUCACAACUUAAAACUACUUUAGUUGUAAUUACGUUCGUAUCCCCUUAAUUACCUAGCUAACGGUUCAACGAGUACCUCAUGUUAUGUUCAUAACAGUUACGCACUGUGUUUAAACUGGCCUUUUGAUGGUUAUACCUAGCCCUUGUACUGAUCAGAGUCACAAGAACUGCGGUUACCAUUGUACUAUUGACCAUGAUAUGGUGAACCUCAACCUAGUGAACCAUUGAACUGUCACAACCUAGAGACGAUGUUAUUUGAGAUACCACACGAACACUUCCUCGUAAAAAGUCCGAAUGACUUAAAUCUCAAAGACCUGAACAGUGUGUUGAAGAACCUAUAAAAUAAUGCGUUUUAGGUAAAACGACGAAAUGUUGUCAACUCCAUAGAACUAGACUCACCCUUAAUGAAAUCACCACGUUCGUACGGUAACAGGCACCCGUGAGACCUCUUGGAUUCCAUAGAGUUGGAGAGCAACAGUCCAAAGCCACCCUCUUAUGGAAGGGUUGAGCAACCUCGUGAUCCAUUGAACUGUCUCAACCUAGAGUCGAUGUUAUUUGAUUUACCACACGAGUACUUCCUCGUAAAAAGUCCGAAUGAUUUAAAUCUCAUAGACCUGAACAGUAUGUUGAGGAACUUUUACCUAUAACUUGGUUUAAAACAAGGAGGCAAAUUUGACUUCAUGUAUCUAAAUGUCAGUACGGAUCACCCCGGGGUAAAAGGUCUAACCGAACCUACCGUCUGGCUGUAACUAUGAGAACCAGAACGUUUAUGUUCAAACCUACUACAAUAAGGACUAACCAAAACCCACUGUAAAAGGGCCCGAAGUCAGAACCUACGGAGUCCUUUGUAUGAUGCACCAAGUAAUGGCCGUCUAGAUGUUGUGUACAGUCGUCUAAAAUAUGAAGACCCUAGGUUAUUCGAGAGUCCAGUUCAAGGUGCCGAUGGAUAUUUAUAUAGUUAGAACCAAGACAGGAGUUUGUGAAAGAGUCCCAGUAACGGUAGUCUCGAUUUUCGGGGUGACGAAGUCCGUAACGAAGACGUUUUAUUAGUUUAACGUCCGUGGUAAGGUAGUAGAUACACGGUUAACUGACCAGACUUCGCCUACCUGGAUAGUUCUUUAUUAAAUUGUCCUCUACAAUACGUCACAACCUUCCUCAGUCCGAAUUUGAGACGUCUUGUUAAACCAAGACAGUACGAAUCAGAUAGGAACUCGUUGUUAUUAGAGAGUCCACUUAAGGGAUUUAAAGAAGCCUCACGGAGUGUUAACUUCAAGGAACUAGAAAGUAUGUUAUCGAAGAAACCUUGUAACGGUUCCACCAAUCUUCUCUUUUACGGUGUCAACGUUUAGAACUCCCACUCUAGUUUGUUCAAAUCACCGGUAUAAGGAUUCUUGGAAUGAACGGAACUUUUAGAAGUAAUAAACCUGAACCGGGUAUUAUUAUAUAGUCCUUGGUAUGGUACCAGCAAUAGUUUGAACUUUCGUUACUCCCAGUAUUCAGCAUUAUGCCACAGGCAAUUAAACCUCCUCUCAUAUAGUUAUUAGUGUUUUCCGGUUUGUGCACUGAUGUGGAAACUUCAGAUGUUGGAUCACCACUUAGAACUAGACAGUACAUUGUUAAAUUGUCCUGUCUAAGGACUACUCUAUUCAAACGACUAACCCGAGUGGUCGGAUUUGAAUAGUUCAUUAGUCGACUGGCCUUCCUAGGGAUUAGUUUAACCACUAGAUUUCGUCAACCUCAGGCACCUGGAUAGGAUGUUGCUCAAGAGACCACUUUAGGGCGGUCCGAACAGCCGAGAUUGGAUAGACUCGGUGAACUUGGAUAGUAUGUUGUUGAAUAGUCCGCGCUAUGGUAGACCGGGCGUCGACCUCCGAGAACUGUUGGUCUAGCCGUAGAUGUAGCCGUUGGGGCCAGAAACACCGAUGGGAGACAGGUUCUUGACGAGAUGAUCAUGAUGACUACGUCUCGUUUCACAGUUGGAACUUCUUCGUCUACUAUAGCGCAUAGAGAUGGAACCCUACCCGUAUCCUAAAAACGAACCGGAAACCCACCACAAAACGUGGUACAAUGACCCCUCUUGGACCCGCUAACGAAUGAAAGUCUAGUAACUGUUUGAAAUACUACUACGAAUAGAUACCCACCGAUAAUGAACCCGAGUGGACUACUUCUUGGUGCUGCUGCUGCGCCGCACU
This 3237-nucleotide ribosomal RNA is filed under the name Triticum aestivum (bread wheat). Its description in RNAcentral is "partial small subunit ribosomal RNA". The record is from RNAcentral. Lineage: Eukaryota; Viridiplantae; Streptophyta; Magnoliopsida; Poales; Poaceae.